GGCGUAUAAAAUUAUAAUCCUGGUACUUUUGAUAACUAUUUGGGGCCCUUUAUAGCUUGCUGUUCGGAGUGAGUCAAGGCUCCGCGUUGAAGACCGUACCUUAACCUAGUAUAAUGGUUUACAUUUACAAAUUGUGACUAGGGUGGAGAGUUGUCUCAUUGGCACUCAUACAUCAUCUUCUUAUAUCUAUUUUCACGAUGUUGAUACAGAAUGAGUCUGUUGUCAUGUUUAGUCCUCGAUUGGAAUAAUAAAUAUCCUUAUUGUUGGACAGGUGUUCGGGUAUCUAUGAGCAACUGAAGAAUUCGUCAAAAUAAAUGAACUGUAUAAUAUUCAGUGAAGUACUUUAAAUCGUGUAAAAUAAAAGUACAGGCGGAAGUUUGAACCAGAUGCUCAAUAUUAUAGGAAUUUCCAGUUUCGGAAGUAUUUUUGAACAAACACGGUUUACCAAAACUUAUUUCUUUCAAUCAAAGAAAUGGGACAGGAAGAGAAAAUAAUACUCAAGAAUAGAAUAUUUACAUUGUUAAUAUGCAUUUAAAGUAUUUUGAUCGCACUUGUGUAG
This 559-nucleotide long non-coding RNA is filed under the name Mytilus galloprovincialis (Mediterranean mussel). Lineage: Eukaryota; Metazoa; Mollusca; Bivalvia; Mytilida; Mytilidae. The record is from RNAcentral.